CAGGGAGAGUAAGUUGCGCACGGGUGAGUAUCGCGUGGGUAUCUACCCUUGGAUUCAGGAUAACAUUUGGAAAGGGGUGCUAAUACUGGAUAACAUCCUGAUGGUUUGGCCAUAAGGAUCAAAGAUAGCCUCUACAUGUAAGCUAUUGUUCAGGGAUGAGCCCGCGUACCAUUAGCUAGUUGUGGGUAAGAGCCUACCAAGGCAACGAUGUUAGCUGGUCUGAGAGGAUGAUCAGCCACACUGAACUGAAACACGGUCCAGACUCUUACGGGAGGCAGCAGUGAGGAAUUUUGCGCAAUGGGGGAAACCCUGACGCAGCAACGCCGCGUGAGUGAAGAAGGCUUUCGGGUCGUAAAGCUCUGUCAAGAGGGAAGAAAGUGGGGGAUGGUAAUACUGUUUUCUAUUGACGGUACCUCUGAAGGAAGCACCGGCUAACUCCGUGCCAGCAGCCGCGGUAAUACGGGGGGUGCAAGCGUUAUUCGGAUUUAUUGGGCGUAAAGAGCGCGUAGGCGGUUUAUCAAGUCAGAUGUGAAAGCCCUGGGCUCAACCUGGGAAGUGCAUUUGAAACUAGUAGACUUGAGUAUGGGAGAGGGGAGUGGAAUUCCUGGUGUAGAGGUGAAAUUCGUAGAUAUCAGGAGGAACACCGGUGGCGAAGGCGACUUCCUGGACCAAUACUGACGCUGAGGCGCGAAGGCGUGGGGAGCAAACAGGAUUAGAUACCCUGGUAGUCCACGCAGUAAACGGUGAUCACUAGGUGUCGCGGGUA
RNAcentral lists this ribosomal RNA (766 nucleotides) under uncultured Geobacter sp. Its description in RNAcentral is "bacterial SSU rRNA". It matches the Rfam family "Bacterial small subunit ribosomal RNA", at positions 83 to 831 of the family's 1533-position model. The record is from RNAcentral. Lineage: Bacteria; Pseudomonadati; Thermodesulfobacteriota; Desulfuromonadia; Geobacterales; Geobacteraceae.